This 490-nucleotide ribosomal RNA is filed under the name uncultured bacterium. Its description in RNAcentral is "partial 16S ribosomal RNA". It matches the Rfam family "Bacterial small subunit ribosomal RNA", at positions 30 to 507 of the family's 1533-position model. The record is from RNAcentral.
AUUGAACGCUGGCGGCAGGCCUAACACAUGCAAGUCGAAUGGUAACAGGAAACAGCUUGCUGUUUCGCUGACGAGUGGCGGACGGGUGAGUAAUGUCUGGGAAACUGCCUGAUGGAGGGGGAUAACUACUGGAAACGGUAGCUAAUACCGCAUAACGUCGCAAGACCAAAGAGGGGGACCCUCGGGCCUCUUGCCAUCGGAUGUGCCCAGAUGGGAUUAGCUUGUUGGUGGGGUAACGGCUCACCAAGGCGACGAUCCCUAGCUGGUCUGAGAGGAUGACCAGCCACACUGGAACUGAGACACGGUCCAGACUCCUACGGGAGGCAGCAGUGGGGAAUAUUGCACAAUGGGCGCAAGCCUGAUGCAGCCAUGCCGCGUGUAUGAAGAAGGCCUUCGGGUUGUAAAGUACUUUCAGCGGGGAGGAAGGGAGUAAAGUUAAUACCUUUGCUCAUUGACGUUAGCCGCAGAAGAAGCACCGGCUAACUCCGUG